Long non-coding RNA from Wasmannia auropunctata (little fire ant), 1836 nucleotides. RefSeq lists it as uncharacterized. Lineage: Eukaryota; Metazoa; Arthropoda; Insecta; Hymenoptera; Formicidae. The record is from RefSeq and is a predicted model, not a curated record. The transcript has 2 exons.
CGUUGAGUCAUCCAUCCAUAGAAAGUGCCCCGCGUCCCGGAUCAAGCGGCGAGAUACACAAAUGUUGAUACGUAAAAGGCGAUCGCGUAUAAGGCGAAAUUUGUCGUGGAACAGAAAUUAUGCGUGUUGUAAAAUAAGUGAAUUGUAAAAAGAACGCUUCUAAUAUGUCACUCUAUGAUAAAUUAUCAACCAUGUAAUUGAUCGAAAACCAUUUGGCAAUCGCAAACGCGACGUAACUUACAAAUCAAAAUGACAAGGAACAAGAAUCAAAUCACAAUCAUAUGCAAAGAUCGGUCGCAGCUUCUACGUAUUUUGUAUCUUUUUUCUAAAAGUUCCUCUUUUUUUCGAUAUACAUAUAUCCUGUCUUGUUAAUAAAACAUAAGAGCGUAAUUAAAGAAGUUUGAACCGUAUAAUACAAUACUAUAGUUAAAAAAAGAAAUAAAACUUUACGAAAAAAUUGGUCGAAAUUUUACGAAAAAUUUUGGUCGUAAAUUUGCUCUGAAUCAACUGCAAAAAAUAAGUAAACAAAACAACGAAUAAUUUAGCUUAUAGUUUAUCCAACGCAAUGACCUGCAUAACUGAUAAUUUUUUGCUGCAGUUUUUUUUUAGUAAAUAACUUUUAAACGAGUAAAUAGAUCCAAAUAAACUUUUGUACAAAUAUUUAUUAGAUUUUUUUAUUAGUACUAACUAAUAUUUGCUACUAGUACUAACUAAUUUUUGUAUUAAAUUUGAUUUAAUUUGUAAUGGUAUUUUCUCAUUGCAAAUAAGUACUAUCUACAAAACGCGAUUUUACAUAAGAAUCAAUGCAAACAAAAAAUCAAACAAAUAUUAAACUAUUAAAAGGAUUGUGUUCAUACACAGAAAGUCAGAUGUAAUAAUGGAAUAAAAUCUAUAAAAUUUACACACCCACUUUAGAUAAGAAUAUGCAAAGUGGAUAUAUGUAUAUAUAUAUUUUUUGUGAUGUGCUUUGAGAUGUAUAUCCACUUUGACAUAGUUUCCUUAUCCUUCUAUCCUCCUCGUUUCCUAUCUAAAAAAAGGCAUGUUAAAUCGAUACUCGCAUCUCUUGAAAUUUUCUCGACAAUUUAUUGUUGCAUUGCGAUACCGAUUGAUUCUCCCCCUGCGCUAACUUCGUGAGCGGCUGUCAUUGCAUAUUUUGACAGUUGUGCGUCUAAUGUCUAAUAAUUUAUUGUAUGCAUUGUAAACGUGUCAUAGUAAGAAUUAUUAGUAAAGAAAAACUAAAUAACACGCGUGAAACGCGCGUCUGUGAAGUCCAAUAUAUAUAUCUAUUGCAAUGCAGAAAACGAAGAAAAAAGAGAACUCGACGAUUGUUACCAACGCGGCGCCGGACCGACGAAAUUUAUUUGGAAAGUCGAACGAGUUUGGGCCGCUCGUCACUUUCGCCCACUGGAUUACUGUCUUUCCAGUCGAAUAUGCAAAGCGGUUUUCACUAAAGACUGAAUAAAUUAAUUGCACAGCAGAAUGGAGGAAGAGAAAAGAAGAAAGAAUGAAAGACAAUAUUAGCCACAACUAAUUUGCAAAGUGACAAUUCGCGUGAUCGAGACGCACGAUGUUCGAUACAUUCCAUAGAACAGUGAUGUUCAACCUAUUUUAAACUGAGGAUCAUUUUCAGAAAUAAACAAAAUUGUGGAUCGAAGAGUUAGAAUUUUAUUUCAUCAAUAAGGAAAUAAAAAAUCAAGAUAAUUUAUAAACAUCAAAUAUUUUAAACAUAUAAUCUGCUUAUAAAGUAAGCUACAUUUUCGAAUUGUUAAUAUUUUAAAUAAAUUGUUAAAAAAAUUCUUAAAAAAAUGCCUCUCAAAUAAACUGUAAAACUGUGAA